RNAcentral lists this ribosomal RNA (468 nucleotides) under uncultured bacterium. RNAcentral's name for it is "partial 16S ribosomal RNA". It matches the Rfam family "Bacterial small subunit ribosomal RNA", at positions 28 to 507 of the family's 1533-position model. The record is from RNAcentral.
GACGAACGCUGGCGGCGUGCUUAACACAUGCAAGUCGAACGGAAAGGCCCUGCUUUUGUGGGGUGCUCGAGUGGCGAACGGGUGUGUAACACGUGAGUAACCUGCCCUUGACUUUGGGAUAACUUCAGGAAACUGGGGCUAAUACCGGAUAUGAGCUCCUGCUGCAUGGUGGGGGUUGGAAAGUUUCGGCGGUUGGGGAUGGAUUCGCGGCUUAUCAGCUUGUUGGUGGGGUAGUGGCUUACCAAGGCUUUGACGGCUAGCCGGCCUGGGAGGGUGACCGGCCACAUUGGGACUGAGAUACGGCCCAGACUCCUACGGGAGGCAGCAGUGGGGAAUAUUGCACAAUGGGCGGAAGCCUGAUGCAGCAACGCCGCGUGCGGGAUGACGGCCUUCGGGUUGUAAACCGCUUUCGCCUGUGACGAAGCGUGAGUGACGGUAAUGGGUAAAGAAGCACCGGCUAACUACGUG